Molecule: ribosomal RNA, 1310 nt
Filed under: Staphylococcus aureus
Lineage: Bacteria; Bacillati; Bacillota; Bacilli; Caryophanales; Staphylococcaceae
Description: bacterial SSU rRNA
Rfam family: Bacterial small subunit ribosomal RNA
Source: RNAcentral
GAUAACCUACCUAUAAGACUGGGAUAACUUCGGGAAACCGGAGCUAAUACCGGAUAAUAUUUUGAACCGCAUGGUUCAAAAGUGAAAGACGGUCUUGCUGUCACUUAUAGAUGGAUCCGCGCUGCAUUAGCUAGUUGGUAAGGUAACGGCUUACCAAGGCAACGAUGCAUAGCCGACCUGAGAGGGUGAUCGGCCACACUGGAACUGAGACACGGUCCAGACUCCUACGGGAGGCAGCAGUAGGGAAUCUUCCGCAAUGGGCGAAAGCCUGACGGAGCAACGCCGCGUGAGUGAUGAAGGUCUUCGGAUCGUAAAACUCUGUUAUUAGGGAAGAACAUAUGUGUAAGUAACUGUGCACAUCUUGACGGUACCUAAUCAGAAAGCCACGGCUAACUACGUGCCAGCAGCCGCGGUAAUACGUAGGUGGCAAGCGUUAUCCGGAAUUAUUGGGCGUAAAGCGCGCGUAGGCGGCCUUUUAAGUCUGAUGUGAAAGCCCACGGCUCAACCGUGGAGGGUCAUUGGAAACUGGAAAACUUGAGUGCAGAAGAGGAAAGUGGAAUUCCAUGUGUAGCGGUGAAAUGCGCAGAGAUAUGGAGGAACACCAGUGGCGAAGGCGACCCUCUGGUCUGUAACUGACGCUGAUGUGCGAAAGCGUGGGGAUCAAACAGGAUUAGAUACCCUGGUAGUCCACGCCGUAAACGAUGAGUGCUAAGUGUUAGGGGGUUUCCGCCCCUUAGUGCUGCAGCUAACGCAUUAAGCACUCCGCCUGGGGAGUACGACCGCAAGGUUGAAACUCAAAGGAAUUGACGGGGACCCGCACCCGCGGUGGAGCAUGUGGUUUAAUUCGAAGCAACGCGAAGAACCUUACCAAAUCUUGACAUCCUUUGACAACUCUAGAGAUAGAGCCUUCCCCUUCGGGGGACAAAGUGACAGGUGGUGCAUGGUUGUCGUCAGCUCGUGUCGUGAGAUGUUGGGUUAAGUCCCGCAACGAGCGCAACCCUUAAGCUUAGUUGCCAUCAUUAAGUUGGGCACUCUCAGUUGACUGCCGGUGACAAACCGGAGGAAGGUGGGGAUGACGUCAAAUCAUCAUGCCCCUUAUGAUUUGGGCUACACACGUGCUACAAUGGACAAUACAAAGGGCAGCGAAACCGUGAGGUCAAGCAAAUCCCAUAAAGUUGUUCUCAGUUCGGAUUGUAGUCUGCAACUCGACUACAUGAAGCUGGAAUCGCUAGUAAUCGUAGAUCAGCAUGCUACGGUGAAUACGUUCCCGGGUCUUGUACACACCGCCCGUCACACCACGAGAGUUUGUA